This is an RNA transcript of Cyprinus carpio (common carp), 3740 nucleotides long. RefSeq lists it as uncharacterized. The record is from RefSeq and is a predicted model, not a curated record. The transcript has 3 exons. NCBI's taxonomy places the organism in Eukaryota, Metazoa, Chordata, Actinopteri, Cypriniformes, Cyprinidae.
AGAAUAAUGUCUCACACAUCUGAUGACGGACAAUCAUUACAUGUUCAGGGUUCUCAGGAGGCUACUGCCACUCUUCCUGAGACCAAACCGAAAGAGGAGCCAGUAAAACCUACAGAACCACUUUCAGAAGAUAUCUGUAAAAGUGAUUCAGUCUGCAUUGAGAAGGCAACAACAGAUUUGACUUCAAAUCUAAUCCCAGUAAUGGUGGAUAAAGGAAAACAAGUGAAAACAACUGAAAACAUCUCCAAUCAAAGCCAAACAUCCUUGAUCACAUGCACUAGCAAAGAACAUGGGAGUAACACAGAGUGCAAAGAGGAGAACAUGUUGCUGAAUUUGACAUCAGAGACUGGACUGAAUCCAUUAAGCAAGGAGCAUUUCACAAUGAAAAGCACAGUAGAUGACGAUGUAGAUGGUUUGAGUAUACAUGAUUGUGAGGCAUCAGAAACACACAGUGAUGUGCUUGCAAGAAACACAACCAACAGUCAUAAAACUGAGCUCAGGUCAAAUGUGACUCCAGAAGCCAAGUUGAUGGAUACUAUCAAUGAUACAGCUGAGACAGACACUAAAAAAUGUAGUGAGCAAAAUGCAAUUAUGAAAAAUACUCUAAAUGUGCAGUGUUUUGAAGGAACAGAAUAUAUGUCAGUAAAUAUCCCACACAUGAACCAAUCAUGUCUCAAAAUGUUUACCAGCACAUCUAAUGUCAGCAGUGUUUGGAGUACUGAUUCUGAGGCAUUUGAAAACACAACAUCAGCUUCAAAGCCAUGUGGUCCAAAGGCUUUGAAAUAUACAUCAAAUAAUGUUGUAGAUCUUACUGUUGAUGAUCCAGCUUUGAGUGUCCAGUGUGAGAUUUCCUCAAAACGCACAAAAAAGAGCCGCAACACUGGUUUGCUCGGCUCUACCAAAUCACAGAGUACUCUGACAAUCAGAGAAAACUGUAAUUUAUCAAGGCCAGACCAAAAUAAAACCGAUGAGGCAAACACACCAGAAACCCAGCUCAUUUCUAAACUAAGAAAUUAUUUGACCAAAUUUGAGUCCACUGUCAAGAAACAAGAAGCAGAAAAUGAAGAUCUUAAAGAAAGACCAGUGAUGUGGAUAACGCUUGACAGCACAGCACAUAAACAGCAGUUGUUUGAAAAAAGCCAGUACUGUAUGGUAAAUGUUCCCUGCCUGAUGCCUCACGGGGGUGAAGCUGUUAAAAAAGACAAUUCAGGUGAAUACACCGAAGCCCCUGUUCAAGCUAGGAAGGCUCUUCAAAGUAAACAUGCUCAAAAUGGAACCGAUGUUUGCCUACUAGUGCCUGUUGAAUCUAAGAGAGGCCGACGAUCUUCUCAAACCAAACGAACCAGUAAUCAAAAAUCAAGAAGGAGCUCAGUCACUAGUGUCAGUCCUGACAGUACCAGUGCUAUAGACACCAUCAAAGGUAACAGUCCUCACCCUUUGCCCCAGGUGAACGACCAGAAUGCUGUUUUUCCAGAAAUCUCCAUCAAUAAUACCCUUAAUAACCAGUUGCAGAUGCAAAGAAAAAACACAACAGGCCAACAAAAUCCCUCAAUGACUUUGAAUAGUUUAUGUAAGCAAAAGAAUCAAAAGAAACAAUCUUUGCAUACCAUAAAAAUCAUUGAUGAUGGCAAUGUGAGCAGUACAUUCGCUGACAAUAAAUACAGCAUCUGUGACAUUUCAAACACUCUUAAGAUAGCUGACCAAACAGUCUCAUUAACCGAACUUGGAUCUUUGCAGUCUAAAUGCAAAAACAUGUUGCAGCAUUUUAUAUUUUGAACAAGAUCAGAAAGAGCCAUUCAACCGAUAUUUAGUUUCAAGGUGUAUCAUUCUAGAGCAAUAUUUGGACCAUCCACCUGCACAAGCAGACUUGAAGUAUGAAGCGGUGAAUUCUUACUUGGAGUUGCAGAUGAUGAUGGAGGCUUGGCAGUUUGUUGAAAACAAAAUCAACUUUCUGAGUGGUAAACCCACGUUUAGGAGUUUGCUAUGGUAUGACCCUUCUCUUUAUGGAGAACUCUACAAAGGGGAGGUUGGCUUUCAGCAGCAGUCGUCGUUGUUUGCUUCUUUUCAAAAGACCUUGGCACAAGAGGGCUACAGUAAACUGCAGGAAUACUACAGUGCAGUAUCCUCCUUGCACCAACAGCUCCAUGCGGCCACUGAUGCAUCUUACUACAUGUAUCUGAAGAGUAAGCGUGAGCUCCUUGAGGCUGAGGCUGCACUCAGAAAUCCCCACAACAUUAAAAGCUUCUUUUUAUCUGUACCAAUGUCUGCAAUGAUUAAUUUUGGAGACAGAUUGGAAAGAUUAGAAAAGAUACACAAAGUGAUAAUGACUUUUGUGGAAACACCUUCGGAUCAGUUGCCAGGGACAUUUGAUGUGGGCAAAGCAGAGCAUCUGUCCAUCACAUGCAGAUAUCUCCAAGAAAAAGCUCUUUUCAUAAAGUCAUGUAAAGAAAUAAUUAGCAAAGUAUCAUGGUUUGGAAUCGAGCACCUUCUUUAUGAUGCCUCUAAGGUUCUUGUAUGGCAAGACAUGAGUCACGGUGCACCAAAUGAAGUUCUCAAGACAUAUAAGAAUUCAAACCCACAGAUUAUUUUUGGGGUGACAGAGUCAGGUGUUACUCUCGUAAACAAAGUGGAACAGCCCCCUCCGUCCAUGGAUGGAGCAGAGACCCCAACAAAACAAAAGAGUGAUGCUGCUCAGAAACGCAAAAGCUUUCAGUUAUGGACAUCCUCUCAACCCAGUGUUGCACAGAGUGUAAAGGCUGACAAGGAUGUGGCUUAUAAAAUGGCUAAAAGGAGGCCAUCUCUUUCACCCCUAACGCAAUGUAAUGGUGUGAACCCCCUUUUCCAAUCAACUUCUGCAACCCAUGAUGAGAACCCGACCCCUUACGCUCUUCCUCACAGAGUGGAUCCAGGGCAUUGGGGAAUGGUUGGAAGCACUGCUGCAGACUGGAACGCCUCGAACUUCCCACCCAACCUCCCACCUUCACCUUCCACAUCUCAUGCAAAUUCUCUUCAUUUGUCUAAUAGACGGGCGACUUCAUCACAUUCUGAUGAGAGGAGAUCUAUAGCAGACAUACAAAGACCUCAACAGCCUUCAGUCUCAGCUCCCCAAGCAACUUUACGAGGAGAUUCUUGUGUUACACAUCUAGCAUUUGACAAUGUUAAAUAUCAACAAACUAACACUGCACCACAUUGUCCUGUGCUGUCACAAGAACAAGUAAACCAGUUCAGUUUAGCAAUGACACAACCUUAUAGUUUACCAAAUUGCCAUUUGGAUGAAAAUUUGAUGCCUCCGCCUUUCUCAGUUCAGGCUUUGACACAUGUCCCUAUGCCCAGCACGAUUACAGCAAUUCAUUACCCCUACUUCCUUCUGAAUGGACAAACAUACACCACAGGCUCCACUGCAACCAUUCACCCUGAUACUAGAUAUUACUCUAACACCAUUUAGGGCUAAUGUACUAUGAGCUAUGAAAUCGAAUCACAUGUGAGUCAGUUUUAUUUAGUGAAGUGAUGUGUGGCCAAGUAUGGUGACCCAUACUCGGAAUCUGUGCUCUGCAUUUAACCCAACCCAAGUGCACACAGACAUUAUAAACACACACACACACACUGUGACCACACACCCAGAGCAGUGGGCAGCUAAUACAGCUGAAUUAUAACAUUUAUAACUAGUUUAACAUCAUAAAACUGAUUCACAAAUUGUUGGUGCUUUUAAGUAAAUGUACUUUAUAUAUAUAAAAAAAAAC